This 490-nucleotide ribosomal RNA is filed under the name uncultured bacterium. RNAcentral's name for it is "partial 16S ribosomal RNA". It matches the Rfam family "Bacterial small subunit ribosomal RNA", at positions 29 to 505 of the family's 1533-position model. The record is from RNAcentral.
AGUGAACGCUGGCGGUAGGCCUAACACAUGCAAGUCGAACGGCAGCACAGUAAGAGCUUGCUCUUACGGGUGGCGAGUGGCGGACGGGUGAGGAAUACAUCGGAAUCUACUUUUUCGUGGGGGAUAACGUAGGGAAACUUACGCUAAUACCGCAUACGACCUACGGGUGAAAGCAGGGGAUCUUCGGACCUUGCGCGAUUGAAUGAGCCGAUGUCGGAUUAGCUAGUUGGCGGGGUAAAGGCCCACCAAGGCGACGAUCCGUAGCUGGUCUGAGAGGAUGAUCAGCCACACGGGAACUGAGACACGGUCCAGACUCCUACGGGAGGCAGCAGUGGGGAAUAUUGGACGAUGGGCGCAAGCCUGAUCCAGCCAUACCGCGUGGGUGAAGAAGGCCUUCGGGUUGUAAAGCCCUUUUGUUGGGAAAGAAAAGCAGCAGGUUAAUACCCCGCUGUUCUGACGGUACCCAAAGAAUAAGCACCGGCUAACUUCG